GCGGGUGUAGUUUCGUGGUAAAACUACAGCCUUCCAAGCUGUUGUCGCGAGUUCGAUUCUCGUCACCCGCU
This 71-nucleotide transfer RNA is filed under the name Streptococcus pneumoniae. Its description in RNAcentral is "tRNA-Gly". It matches the Rfam family "tRNA". Rfam says of the family: Transfer RNA (tRNA) molecules are approximately 80 nucleotides in length. Lineage: Bacteria; Bacillati; Bacillota; Bacilli; Lactobacillales; Streptococcaceae. The record is from RNAcentral.